AAAAAAGGUAAGCUACUAAGAGCGAAUGGUGGAUGCCUUGACUGGUAAAGGCGAUGAAGGACGUACUAGACUGCGAUAAGCUACGGGGAGCUGUCAAGAAGCUUUGAUCCGUAGAUUUCCGAAUGGGGCAACCCAAUGUAUAGAGAUAUACAUUACCUAUAUAGGAGCGAACGAGGGGAAUUGAAACAUCUUAGUACCCUCAGGAAAAGAAAUCAAUAGAGAUUGCGUCAGUAGCGGCGAGCGAAAGCGCAAGAGGGCAAACCCAGUGCUUGCACUGGGGGUUGUAGGACUGCAAUGUGCAAGAGGUGAGUUUAGCAGAACAUUCUGGAAAGUAUAGCCAUAGAGGGUGAUAGUCCCGUAUGCGAAAAACAAACCUUAGCUAGCAGUAUCCUGAGUAGGGCGGGACACGAGAAAUCCUGUCUGAAGCUGGGUCGACCACGAUCCAACCCUAAAUACUAAUACCAGAUCGAUAGUGCACAAGUACCGUGAGGGAAAGGUGAAAAGAACUGAGGUGAUCAGAGUGAAAUAGAACCUGAAACCAUUUGCUUACAAUCAUUCAGAGCCCUAUGUAGCAAUACAGGGUGAUGGACUGCCUUUUGCAUAAUGAGCCUGCGAGUUGUGGUGUCUGGCAAGGUUAAGCAAACGCGAAGCCGUAGCGAAAGCGAGUCUGAAUAGGGCGCUUAGUCAGAUGCUGCAGACCCGAAACGAAGUGAUCUAUCCAUGAGCAAGUUGAAGCUAGUGUAAGAACUAGUGGAGGACUGAACCCAUAGGCGUUGAAAAGCCCCGGGAUGACUUGUGGAUAGGGGUGAAAGGCCAAUCAAACUUCGUGAUAGCUGGUUCUCUCCGAAAUAUAUUUAGGUAUAGCGUUGUGUCGUAAUAUAAGGGGGUAGAGCACUGAAUGGGCUAGGGCAUACACCAAUGUACCAAACCCUAUCAAACUCCGAAUACCUUAUAUGUAAUCACAGCAGUCAGGCGGCGAGUGAUAAAAUCCGUCGUCAAGAGGGAAACAACCCAGACUACCAGCUAAGGUCCCUAAAUCUUACUUAAGUGGAAAACGAUGUGAAGUUACUUAAACAACCAGGAGGUUGGCUUAGAAGCAGCCAUCCUUUAAAGAAAGCGUAAUAGCUCACUGGUCUAGUGAUUUUGCGCGGAAAAUAUAACGGGGCUAAAGUAAGUACCGAAGCUGUAGACUUGCGCACAACUUAGAUUAUUUAAGUUUAGAAUAUGAGAAACUAAGUUAUAUGUUUAGUUAUAUUUUUACUGAUUUUUAUAGAGUAAAGAUAGAAAUAAAACUUAGUAAAAUCAGUAAAAAUAUUCUUAGACUAAAGUUAAGUAGUUUAAGUUGUGUGCAAGUGGUAGGAGAGCGUUCUAUUUGCGUCGAAGGUAUACCGGUAAGGAGUGCUGGAGCGAAUAGAAGUGAGCAUGCAGGCAUGAGUAGCGAUAAUUAAUGUGAGAAUCAUUAACGCCGUAAACCCAAGGUUUCCUACGCGAUGCUCGUCAUCGUAGGGUUAGUCGGGUCCUAAGUCGAGUCCGAAAGGGGUAGACGAUGGCAAAUUGGUUAAUAUUCCAAUACCAACAUUAGUGUGCGAUGGAAGGACGCUUAGGGCUAAGGGGGCUAGCGGAUGGAAGUGCUAGUCUAAGGUCGUAGGAGGUUAUACAGGCAAAUCCGUAUAACAAUACUCCGAGAACUGAAAGGCUUUUUGAAGUCUUCGGAUGGAUAGAAGAACCCCUGAUGCCGUCGAGCCAAGAAAAGUUUCUAAGU
This 1762-nucleotide ribosomal RNA is filed under the name Campylobacter coli. RNAcentral's name for it is "partial 23S ribosomal RNA". It matches the Rfam family "Bacterial large subunit ribosomal RNA", at positions 1 to 1626 of the family's 2925-position model. The record is from RNAcentral. Lineage: Bacteria; Pseudomonadati; Campylobacterota; Epsilonproteobacteria; Campylobacterales; Campylobacteraceae.